CCGCAAGAUACCACGGGCGCACGGCGGAUGCCUUGGCACAGGGAGCCGAUGAAGGACGCGGCAAGCUGCGAUAAUCCCCGGCGAGGAGCACACAUCCUUCGACCCGGGGGUCUCCGAAUGGGCGAACCCAUGCACAGCAGUGUGCAUAUCCCCGGCCCGAACACAUAGGGCCGGGGAGGACAACCCGGGGAACUGAAACAUCUAAGUACCCGGAGGAGAGGAAAUCAAUCUCGAGACUCCCCGAGUAGCGGCGAGCGAAAGGGGACCGAUGGCCAAACCGUCGAGCGGGCAUACCCGGCAGGGGUUCCGCCGACGGGGUUGCAGGGCCGCGCAUCCGGGGGCUGCCGCCCCCGGGCGCAGGUCCGGCUGGGGAGCGGAACGGCAUGGGAGGGCCGGCCGCAGCGGGUGACAGCCCCGUACGCGAACCCAGACCGGACGGCGCGACGCGGUCCCUGAGUAGGGCCGGGCACGUGAAACCCGGUCCGAACCUGGGUGGACCACCAUCCAAGCCUGAGUACUACCCUGUGACCGAUAGCGCACCAGUACCGUGAGGGAAAGGUGAAAAGCACCCCGGGAGGGGAGUGAAACAGUACCUGAAACCGUGCGCCCACGAGCAGUCGGAGCA
RNAcentral lists this ribosomal RNA (625 nucleotides) under Collinsella aerofaciens. Its description in RNAcentral is "partial 23S ribosomal RNA". It matches the Rfam family "Bacterial large subunit ribosomal RNA", at positions 1 to 581 of the family's 2925-position model. The record is from RNAcentral. Lineage: Bacteria; Bacillati; Actinomycetota; Coriobacteriia; Coriobacteriales; Coriobacteriaceae.